RNAcentral lists this long non-coding RNA (1184 nucleotides) under Chrysolophus pictus (golden pheasant). Its description in RNAcentral is "lncRNA (ENSCPIG00010014324.1)". The record is from RNAcentral. Lineage: Eukaryota; Metazoa; Chordata; Aves; Galliformes; Phasianidae.
UUAGCGUGUCCUCGCCACGUUUCCCCCAGUUCGACGGCGUCGAGGGCCGCUGGUUCCAGAAGCUGUACUUGUCACGUCCUUAUCACUCCCUUAUCACUCCCUUAUCACGCCCUUAGCGUGUCAUGGCGUGUUCUUAGCGUGUCCUUAGCGUGUCCUUAGCGUGUCCUUAGCGUGUACUUGCCACGUUUCCCCCAGUUCGACGGCGCCGAGGGCCGCUGGUUCCAGAAGCUGUACUUGUCACACCCUUAUCACAUCCUUAUCACACCCUUAGCAUGUAAUGGCGUGUCCUUAGCGUGUCCUUAGCGUGUCCUUAGCGUGUCCUCGCCACGUUUCCCCCAGUUCGACGGCGCCGAGGGCCGCUGGUUCCAGAAGCUGUCCGCUCGCUUCUGCAGCCGUCAGUCCUUCGCCCUGGAGCAGCUGAAGGCCAAGCAGCGCCGCGAUGCGCGCUUCUGCCAUUUCGUGGCUGUGAGACACCGCUGCGUCCCCAGUGUCCCCAAUGUCCCCAAAGUGUCCCCAGUGUGUCCCCAAUGACCCCAUUGACCCCAAUAUGCCCCAGUGACCCCAGUGUGUCCCCAUUGUGUCCCCAGUGUCCCAAAUGUGUCCUCAGUGACCCCAAUGUGUCCCCAUUGACCUCAGUGACCCCAAUGUGUCCCCAUUGGCCCCAGUGUGUCCCCAGUGUGUCCCCAUUGACCCCAGUGUGCCCCAGUGACCCCAGUGUGUCCCCAGUGUGUCCCCAAUGACCCCAAUGUGUCCUCAGUGACCCCAAUGUGCCCCAGUAACCCCACUGCGUCCCCAAUCUGUCCCCAGUGUGUCCCCAAUGUGUCCCCAUUGACCCCAAUGUCCCCAGUGUGUCCCCANUGUGUCCCCAAUGUCCCCAGUGUGUCCCCAAUGUCCCCAUUGACCCCAAUGUGUCCCCAUCAACCCCAGUGUGUCCCCAAUCUGUCCCCAAUGUCCCCAAUGUGUCCCCAAUGUGUCCUCAGUGACCCCGCUGUGUCCCCAGUGUGUCCCCAGUGUGUCCCCAUUGACCCCAGUGACCCCAGUGUGUCCCCAUUGGCCCCAAUGUGUCCCCAAUGACCCCAAUGUGUCCCCAGUGUCCCCAUUGACCCCAAUGUGUCCCCAUCAACCCCACUGUGUCCCCAAUGUCCCCAAUCUGUCCCCAGUGUGUCCUCAGUGACCCCAAUGUG